RNAcentral lists this ribosomal RNA (546 nucleotides) under Triticum aestivum (bread wheat). RNAcentral describes it as "partial small subunit ribosomal RNA". The record is from RNAcentral. Lineage: Eukaryota; Viridiplantae; Streptophyta; Magnoliopsida; Poales; Poaceae.
AUGGAGUCCUUUCGUGAAGCUCUGGAUGAUUGCGCACUCACUGAUCUCGGAUUCAGUGGUGUUCCCUUCACUUAUGAUAACAAACGCGCCGGUAGGAAGAACGUAAGAGUACGACUCGAUCGAGCAGUGGCGAAUGAUGCUUGGCGGGAUAUUUUUCCGGAUGCCUCAGUGGAACAUAUUGUUACAUCUUGCUCUGACCAUUGUCUCCUUCUAGUCAGGCUGCAGGCUGAACAAUUGAAACAGAACAAGAGAAGGUGCAGGCAGUAUGAGCUCUUUUGGGAGAGAGCAUCAGACCUACCCGAGGUCAUUGAACAGGCAUGGGCUGCUGCUGGCGAUAAAAGUGAUCUGGAGGCUAUCCAAAGCUGUCUCGGAAAUGUCAUGAAAUCAUUGCAAAACUGGAGCAGCCGUAAAUUUGGUAAUAUCUUAAAGCAUUUACAGGAGGUACGCACUGAAUUGGAAGGGAUGUUAAAUAGUGGAGCUGAUAGCACAGAGGUACGCAGGGUGUCGGAUAAAUUGAAUGAACUACUAUACAAAGAAGAGAUGUUA